This 367-nucleotide ribosomal RNA is filed under the name Cernosvitoviella immota. RNAcentral describes it as "partial 12S ribosomal RNA". Lineage: Eukaryota; Metazoa; Annelida; Clitellata; Enchytraeida; Enchytraeidae. The record is from RNAcentral.
UUAUGAUAUAUAAGUAGAAUUGGGCAAUAAAAGCUAUUGCUUAAAACCUAAAGAAUUUGGCGGUAUCUUAAGAGAUCAGGGGAAUCUGUUGCUUAAUUUGAUAAUCCACGAAUAAAAUUCCUUUUUUUGAAAUUCAGCUUGUGUAUUGCUGUCGUCAGUAAACCUCUAAAAGUUAGUUUACAAAUAUAAUUAUUUAUUUACGUCAAGUCUAAGUGCAGCUUAUAUAAAGGUGUAAAAUGGGUUACAAUCUAAAUAUGGAUAUGGAAUAGCUAUGUAGUUAUGAAGGUGGACUUGAGAGUAAUAAUGUAAGGUUAUGAAGUUUUAUCUAAGAUAUGCACAUAUCGCCCGUCGCUCUCGUCUAAAGAUR